RNAcentral lists this ribosomal RNA (428 nucleotides) under uncultured bacterium. RNAcentral's name for it is "bacterial SSU rRNA". It matches the Rfam family "Bacterial small subunit ribosomal RNA", at positions 28 to 429 of the family's 1533-position model. The record is from RNAcentral.
GACGAACGCUGGCGGCGUGCCUAAUGAAUGCGAGUCAAACGGGGUUAGGUAAGUGAAUUGAUCCUUCGGGAUCAAUUCGACCUCCUAACCUAGUGGCAAACGGGUGAGUAACACGUGGGCAACGUGCCCCAGAGACGGGCAUAACGGUGGGAAACCACUGCUAAUUCCCGAUGGUCUGUUGGUGACUCAAGUCACCUUCAGUAAAGGCCUCGGCUGCUCUGGGAUCGGCCCGCGCCCCAUUAGCUUGUUGGUAAGGUAACGGCUUACCAAGGCGACGAUGGGUAGCUGGUCUGAGAGGACGAUCAGCCACACUGGGACUGAGACAUGGUCCAGACUCCUACGGGAGUUAGCAUCCGGGAAUCUUGCACAAUGGGCGAAAGCCUGAUGCAGCGACGCCGCGUGGGUGGUGAAGGCUUGCGGGUCGUAAA